This 469-nucleotide ribosomal RNA is filed under the name uncultured bacterium. Its description in RNAcentral is "bacterial SSU rRNA". It matches the Rfam family "Bacterial small subunit ribosomal RNA", at positions 34 to 498 of the family's 1533-position model. The record is from RNAcentral.
CGCUGGCGGCAUGCUUUACACAUGCAAGUCGAACGGCAGCACGGGCUUCGGUCUGGUGGCGAGUGGCGAACGGGUGAGUAAUAUAUCGGAACGUACCCAAGAGUGGGGGAUAACGUAGCGAAAGUUACGCUAAUACCGCAUACGAUCUAAGGAUGAAAGUGGGGGAUCGCAAGACCUCAUGCUCCUGGAGCGGCCGAUAUCUGAUUAGCUAGUUGGUGAGGUAAAGGCUCACCAAGGCGACGAUCAGUAGCUGGUCUGAGAGGACGACCAGCCACACUGGAACUGAGACACGGUCCAGACUCCUACGGGAGGCAGCAGUGGGGAAUUUUGGACAAUGGGCGCAAGCCUGAUCCAGCAAUGCCGCGUGAGUGAAGAAGGCCUUCGGGUUGUAAAGCUCUUUUGUCAGGGAAGAAACGGCAGGAGCUAAUACCUCUUGCUAAUGACGGUACCUGAAGAAUAAGCACCGGCU